This 229-nucleotide non-coding RNA is filed under the name uncultured Fragilariaceae. Lineage: Eukaryota; Bacillariophyta; Fragilariophyceae; Fragilariales; Fragilariaceae. The record is from RNAcentral.
AGCGGCAAACUUCACCAUGGUCUCUUUGUUGAUUGGCAUCAGCCUUUACUGCUCCUUCCACCGUCAACCGGGCUGGAAGUGUGUCAUUGUCGGCGGAGAAGAGCAAGUCUCUUCCUUUCUUGAACAGACCUGCUCUCCUUGAUGGAUCCAUGGCUGGAGAUGUUGGUUUCGAUCCUCUUGGUUUGUCCAACAUUGACGAUGUCGGUAUCGAUCUUUACUGGCUACGUGA